GUGUGUGUGUGUGUGCUCAGGGUAGUCAGUCAGUCUCUCUGCCCACGCAGUUCAUUGGCUAAAGGCGGCACAUCAGCCGGUGCUGGGGUACGAAACUCAGGACUUGCUGUUUAGCCCAUUGACUCCAUUCUGUCUCAGUGCUUUGUCAAUCUCUCUCGCUCCUGACGUUUCCAUUCGGACUCUCACUGCGUCUUCCUGUCUCGUUGACCACGCCCCCUUCUGUCGGUCCGUCUGCAUUCCACAUGUCGUCGUCCUUGCCUGCAGUCUGUCUGGGCGUCUGUGAUUGGCGUAAUUAAAGGUGUCAGGAGGUCUCCAGCGGAGCACAUCAGACUUCAUGGCUCAUUAAAGGACACUUCCAGUGUUCUAGAACACGGACAGCUGUAAGCUUCAGAGGAAGAUGACGGUGUUCUAGAACGUUUCCAGUCAUCCCACCGAACAGAAAGGUUGGCGUGGUUCUAGAACAUGUAAUCGUGAAGGGUCAGCUAAAGAAAACUGACUGUAUUCAAGAACACAGAGCAGUUCUAGGUCUCAUUGACAGUGUUCUACAACACAAGUAGUUAUAUAUUUCAUCGGUAAGUGUAACAAUGUUUUAGAAUACACACAACCAAACCCCCACCCAAGAAAAGCUGGUUGUGUUCUAAAACAUUCAUUAUCAUCUAGUUCUUAUUAGACAAGAGUGACAAUUUUCUAGAACACACUUAACCAUACGAUUUACAUGGCAAGUGUUAGAGCAUUCCAGAAUAUAUAACAGCACAAACUCCACCUUGUGGGUCAACUAUGUGACAAUUUGCAGGUGUCCAUAAAAAGCAUGACAAUGUUCUAGAAUGCACUGAACUGUUAGUCCCAUUAGAGGACUGUUCUAGAACACACAAGGUUGCAGAUCACUCCUAACAAGUGUGUUUGUUCAGUACACUAUGUCAGGCUACAGGAUUCACUAACGGACUGUUGGACUGUUCUAGAACACAUUAGGCUACAGGACCCAACAAAGGCACAUGGCAGUAACCAAAAGGCAGUGGGUCCCAAUAACAAAUGUUGGCUGUGUUCUGGAAUAUUUAAGUCAUAAACAAGUUUUUCUAGGCUACAAUUCCCAUUAAAGAAGGAUGUAGUAGAACACAAAGAUCUGAGGUAAUGGGCCCAGCAAAAGCUUGUGGGAAUGUUCUAGACUGCUAGGCAUCAGGCCUUAUAAAUGAAUAGUGGUAGUGCUCUAGAACAUACAAAGCUGUAAAUUAAUGGAGUGUGACACUGUUCUCAAACAUAUCAGACUGUGAGGGUUCUAGGUCGCUAAACCUCAGUAGUGGAAUAGUGGUAUUUCCCUUCUGGAAUGAUUCAGGCUGGAAAUCUGACUAAGGAAAUGUGAUAUUCUUUUAAAGUACUGCCAACUGAUUUGGCACAAGAUUGUCAUGGUGUUCCAGAAUGUAUCAGAAUAUUGAGCAGUAAUGUAGAGUGUGCUAAAGCAGUGCUGGUGUUCUAGAAUCUACCCCUCCAUUAUAUUCUGAGCAGGGCCACAGGGGUGCUGGAGCCUAUCCCAGCAAGUAAAGGGCACAAAGCAGGAACAGCCACUGGACAGGACACCAGUACGUCACAGUGUUCUAGAAUCCACCAAGCCUUGUCGUCUGGGCCUGCUGCAGUAUCCUUCUAGAACUCUGUCAUAUGGGGGAAUGACAGAUUUCUUCAGGAACUAAUCAGGCCACAGGUCUCACUGAGGAAGAGCGUCAGCAUUCUUCCCAGGAGCUUCAGGGAGCAGGUCACUCUAGGGGCCACAACAGGAGGGUGAGGCCCCCAGGUCCAAGACAAAGGGUCACUGAUUAGGUGACAGCUCAGCCACAUGCACAGAGAGGCGCAGCUUGUGAUUGCUGAAUGACCUGCCACUCCACUGCUCCUCUCCUGGGCUGCGGUCCCUCUGCACUGUAAACAGAGCCAGCUGGACGAAUGUCCUUUAAACAAUCGCUUGGUGACCCAUCAGCUGACCGCUGCAAUGUCUCGGCUCAACUCCACUCUCCACUGACCCUUCCUUUCACGAGUGACAGCUUCUCUGGCAGCCUGGCUGGCACUCUAAUGCCCUCUGCUGGUCAUAAUGAAGAACUGCUUUUUUAAUCCAAGAUGGUUUAUGUUGCUCCUCACCCACCUGUCUUUCUUUCUAUCGAUCACUGAGCCACUCAAGGAGUGGCCAGCUUAGGAGGCCAACAUGACAAACGUCAGUGCAGAUGACAGCUGGGCAGGGAGGCAGACCAGGCAUGGGACAAAGACCAGCGAGUAGGCUCAGGGGAGAUGUUAGCACUGAUGAACUCUGAAAUGUGUGUCUACGAAAGGCGCUAUAUACAAUAAAAAUUCUCUUGAUUACAUCUUAUCUUAGCACAAACAGUUAAAUGCGUCUUCAGUAUGAGCCUGUAGAGAGCCAUAAAGUGAUUACCCAAUUAUAUUUAUAUACCGCUUUUCUAACCCACUGAAAACACUUGGCAUAGAGAGUGGGGGGCCACCAAUGUGCAGCAUCCACCCGGAUGACGCAACGGCAGCCAUUAUUGCCUCAGCAGGUUCACCACACAUUUAGGGGGUGAAGUGGUGAGAGAGAGCCCUUUAGAAACGGGGGAUGAUUAGGGACUCAGAAGGGACAAGGUGGGCAGUUUUUGCCAGGACAUCAGGUCACACUCCACUUUUUUCAGAGGAUACCCAGAGAUCUUUAACGAUCACAGAGAGUCAAGACCUCAGUGUUUCACCUCAUCUGAAUGAUGUCACCAUUUUUAUCCCCAUCACUGCACUGGGACACACUGAGAUUAACAUGCAGACCAUAGGGUUAGCGCCCCCUGCUGGCCUCACCAACACCUCUUCCAGCAGCAACCCAAGCUUUUCUCCCAUCCAAGUACUGGCCGGAGCUAAACAUGCUUAGCUUCAGGUGGAUGGCCUCUUCUGAAGCGUUGGUGGGAUGGCUGCUGGGCAUGUGGGCAUUGAAUGUACACAGACAGGCUGGAUGGGGUGAAAAGAAGCAGAGCCUACUGUGCCAUUCUGAGCCCUACCUAAGCCACUACCAACCCUACCAAUCCAUCUCAGGGCUCACAGGGAGAGCACGCAAACAUCACACAAGGCCAAGGAAAAAAUAAAUUAAAGUAAUUUUAAAAGGCCGCUUACACCUCCCCUUUGUCAUCCGGGUGAUGCCCAUCAAAUCAGAACUGGACAGCAUACACGGCGCCCUCUUCUGUCUUGUUUUGGAAUAGCCUUUCAUUUUCUGAAAGGAUGAAGGUAAAUCAAAAACGAAAGGCAAUUUGAAAAGUACGAGGUAACCGCAACGGAUACAAGUUGACACGAUACAACACGCUUGCAGUGGCUUGUGGGUAAGUUCAGACAUGCACAGUGCAGCACUCUGCCGUUAGUCUGGUUGAAGCCAAGGUGAAAUCAACGUGGACGCUCCGCUGUGGGAUUGCACCGGUAUUGAACAACACACCUUAGUGAGAUUUCAUUGAGCGGUGGGAGUGAAACCCGCUAACAUUCACUGUCAACUCAGUACUGGAAGUGAAAACAGCAGGACGCAACGAAAGGUCUAUGAACGGAUAGAAAGGGAAGAACCGACGAGGCUCGAUCUGGUCGACCGUCAGCAUGGUGCACACGAACCCACAUCGACACGGCGAUAGCCUUCAUCAGUGCAGACCGACGGAUUCCGUUGUCCGCUGUUGCUGCUCCUUUGGAUAUCAGCUGUGGAUCCGCACGUACCAGACAUGUAGUGCACGAUGGGCACCCAGCCAGCUUACCGAGCAGCACUGAACCAACAUCCUUCGAUCAAUUUCAGCAGGCUUCACUCCGUCUGCCCAAAGUGAUCUCACUAUAGUGUGCCAUUCAAUGACGGUGCAAUGCCCACGUUCGCUUGAUCGUCUACGGAAGUCGAACUCCCGUCCUGGUAGGCUGCAGGAUUUCAUUCUCACCCUUUUCCUAAUCAGUGAUCCGUUUUCACUGCUAAUUAACUUCUUUUCCUUUCAUUUUAAUAGCCCCGUUUUUUAGGCAUUCUGACCUCCGAGUUGAUUCUUUGCCUCAUUAAAUGGCAGCCAAACAGAAAUGAGGCCUGAAACGAGCUGACAGAUGACCAGCUAAAUCGGGGCUUCAAACUCUAACCGGUUUCUUAAUGCUGUUAAUUAAUUAAACCCGUUAUUUAAUUCCAUCCAAUUCUGAUCUCAUUCGGCUACAACAGACAUCUCCAAAACUGUUGAUUUUCCAUUUUUCUAAGAACAUUGUCAAAAUGUUUUGGUGACCUGAGCAGAUCAGCCUUACUGAGACCUUCACCUUUCUUCAUUUUCAGAUAUUGUGGUUAGCUGGUCAUGUGGAGGCUCGUUUUGUGUUUACUUAUUGUGUGGCUGCUAAUUAAGGAAAAAGAAACAACUAAGGGGUCUGAGUCACGUCAAUUAAAACAAAGGCAAAAGAAGUUAAUUAGCAGCAAACACUGAUCACUAAUUAAGAAGACGGUUAGAAUGAAAACCUGCAGCCCUGCAGCCCUCCAGGA
Long non-coding RNA from Erpetoichthys calabaricus (reedfish), 4483 nucleotides. RefSeq lists it as uncharacterized. The transcript has 3 exons. The record is from RefSeq and is a predicted model, not a curated record. Lineage: Eukaryota; Metazoa; Chordata; Cladistia; Polypteriformes; Polypteridae.